Molecule: long non-coding RNA, 842 nt
Organism: Drosophila pseudoobscura
Lineage: Eukaryota; Metazoa; Arthropoda; Insecta; Diptera; Drosophilidae
Exons: 3
Source: RefSeq, a predicted model, not a curated record
AUGCGAAGAUAUCGAUAGGCGAGACCCUAGAAGCGCUGAGAGGAAGGUAUUUUUUUGAACAGAGUGACAGGGCCAAAAUUUAAGGGGAAAGGUUAGCGAAGAGUGGCCACCUGGUCCUGGAGAGUAAGAGUUCCGCGCGCUCUCCGGAGCCGUUGUGAGAGGAUUUCCGAUCUCAUCCCAUAACGGAGUCCCGAAGCCAACUCUCCCACACCCAAAAGAAAAGAGAGCCGCCAGCAGCCCGAAUCAGGCCAUGCCCUUGAACCUAGUUCAAGGGCGAUAGAAGAGAGAGCGAUGGGGAUCGGCAGCCGGGAGCAUUAAACAGAACAGCCAAGAGGGGGUUCAGAAAAAAAAAUUCCCGCAACGGAGGAGCAUGCGCGCCGGACAUAGCGACUUAGCGAUUUUUUUUUGUUCUGAAAGAAAAAGGGAUCCAGAUCAGGGAAAGACCAGGAACCAGGACCAGGUAGCAUAAGAGGAAUAGGUCACAGCUCCGCCACCCUGGCUUGUUUUUCCUGCUGGUCUCGAAGGAACAGACCUGGCCACGUAGUGCGGGACCCUCGCCCACUUAGGGAGAAGAAAAAAAUCACAUCAACUUAUUUACUCCCAUUAAUUAUUUUUGUUAGACGUCUCCAGUUAUAAGUAUAUGUAAUUUAAGUCCGGCCAUAUUUAUUAUAUAUAUGUAACCUAUUUAUUUAUAUUUAUUAUAUUAUUUAUUCCUAUUAAUCUAAUUAUUUAUUAACCGCCAGUAGUACUAAGAUGAGGGGGGGAUGAAUAGGCAGGCCUAGUUUAGAAAUGAUAUCGUGUGAAAAUAGGAAAUGAAGUGAAAAUUAUAACGAAGAAAUGAA